CAUAACUUCCCCGUCCGAGCUCCAAUCGCUACACCGUUUGCGGCCACGCGUUCACCGCAUCGAGCUCUACAUUUCUAUCGGAACAAUUUCACUGGAUCCAAUUAGCUUGAGGAAAACGUUUACUCUUGCUUAUGUGAAGCUUGGGUAAGGUUGUGAAUAAAUAAUUGUAGCUUGAAAUUGUGAAUACUGGAACUUGGAGGAAGCAGAUUAGUUGAGGGUUUGAGGGCUGUGUUCUUUUAGGAAAAUUGUCUUGGAAUAAUACUUGGGAAUCGGCUAAGAUGCAGGUCGAGAGGCAUCUCGUUAGGCGUCUGGACUCUUGAAGCGGAGUGGUUACUGGGUUAUUUUGUUAUGUUAUGAUGUAUAUAUAUGUACUUAGCUUUCUCUCCACAUAACUUAUUCUUUUUGAUCCUCCUAGAGGUGUAUGGAGAGGCAGGAUUUUGUUUAUGUACAUUUGGGUUUUGGAUAUGUAUAUAUAUGUAUAUAUGUGUGUAUAUUCU
This is a long non-coding RNA of Arachis duranensis, 497 nucleotides long. RefSeq lists it as uncharacterized. The record is from RefSeq and is a predicted model, not a curated record. NCBI's taxonomy places the organism in Eukaryota, Viridiplantae, Streptophyta, Magnoliopsida, Fabales, Fabaceae. The transcript has 4 exons.